GACGAACGCUGGCGGCGGGCUUAACACAUGCAAGUCGAACGGAAAGGCCGUGCUUUGGGGGGGUGCUCGAGGGGCGAACGGGGGAGUAACACGUGAGUAAGCUGCCCUUGACUUAGGGAGAACUUCAGGAAACUGAGGCUAAUACCGGAAAGGAGUUCCUGCUGCAGGGUGGGGGUUGGAAAGUUUCGGCGGUUGGGGAUGGACUCGCGGCUGAUCAGCUUGGUGGUGGGGUAGUGGCGUACCAAGGCUAUGACGUGUAGCCGGCCUGAGAGGGUGACCGGCCACGUUGCACCUGACAUACGGCCCGGACUCCUACCGGACGCAGCGUUGCGGAAUCUUGCCCAAUGCCCGGAAGCCUGUUGCAGCAUCGCCGCGUGCGGUGUGACGUCCUUCGGGUUGUAAUCCGCUUUCGCCUCUCCCGAGGCGUUAGUGACGGUAAUGGGUAAAGAAGCCCCGGCUAACUACGUG
RNAcentral lists this ribosomal RNA (468 nucleotides) under uncultured bacterium. RNAcentral describes it as "partial 16S ribosomal RNA". It matches the Rfam family "Bacterial small subunit ribosomal RNA", at positions 28 to 507 of the family's 1533-position model. The record is from RNAcentral.